RNAcentral lists this ribosomal RNA (253 nucleotides) under uncultured bacterium. Its description in RNAcentral is "partial 16S ribosomal RNA". It matches the Rfam family "Bacterial small subunit ribosomal RNA", at positions 524 to 776 of the family's 1533-position model. The record is from RNAcentral.
UACGGGGGGGGCAAGCGUUGUUCGGAAUUACUGGGCGUAAAGGGCUCGUAGGUGGCCAACUAAGUCAGACGUGAAAUCCCUCGGCUUAUCCGGGGAACUGCGUCUGAUACUGGAUGGCUUGAGUUUGGGAGAGGGAUGCGGAAUUCCAGGUGUAGCGGUGAAAUGCGUAGAUAUCUGGAGGAACACCGGUGGCGAAGGCGGCAUCCUGGACCAACACUGACACUGAGGAGCGAAAGCCAGGGGAGCAAACGGG